GGUCUUUUCCAGAAUGGCCUAGGAAUGGGA
Molecule: non-coding RNA, 30 nt
Filed under: Homo sapiens (human)
Lineage: Eukaryota; Metazoa; Chordata; Mammalia; Primates; Hominidae
Source: RNAcentral